This 76-nucleotide transfer RNA is filed under the name Camelus ferus (Wild Bactrian camel). It matches the Rfam family "tRNA". Rfam says of the family: Transfer RNA (tRNA) molecules are approximately 80 nucleotides in length. Their secondary structure includes four short double-helical elements and three loops (D, anti-codon, and T loops). Further hydrogen bonds mediate the characteristic L-shaped molecular structure. tRNAs have two regions of fundamental functional importance: the anti-codon, which is responsible for specific mRNA codon recognition, and the 3' end, to which the tRNAs corresponding amino acid is attached (by aminoacyl-tRNA synthetases). tRNAs cope with the degeneracy of the genetic code in two manners: having more than one tRNA (with a specific anti-codon) for a particular amino acid; and 'wobble' base-pairing, i.e. permitting non-standard base-pairing at the 3rd anti-codon position. Lineage: Eukaryota; Metazoa; Chordata; Mammalia; Artiodactyla; Camelidae. The record is from Rfam by way of RNAcentral.
GGGGGUAUAACUCAGUGGUAGAGCACAUGCUUAGUUAGCAUGCAUGAGGUCCUGGGUUCAGUCCCCAGCACCUCCA